Molecule: ribosomal RNA, 497 nt
Filed under: uncultured bacterium
Lineage: Bacteria
Description: partial 16S ribosomal RNA
Rfam family: Bacterial small subunit ribosomal RNA
Source: RNAcentral
GACGAACGCUGGCGGCGUGCCUAAUACAUGCAAGUUGAGCGCUGAAGGUUGGUACUUGUACCAACUGGAUGAGCAGCGAACGGGUGAGUAACGCGUGGGGAAUCUGCCUUUGAGCGGGGGACAACAUUGGGAAAGGAAUGCUAAUACCGCAUAAAAACUUUAAACACAAGUUUUAAGUUUGAAAGAUGCAAUUGCAUCACUCAAGGUGGAUCCCGCGUUGUAUUAGCUAGUUGGUGAGGUAAAGGCUCACCAAGGCGAUGAUACAUAGCCGACCUGAGAGGGUGAUCGGCCACAUUGGGACUGAGACACGGCCCAAACUCCUACGGGAGGCAGCAGUAGGGAAUCUUCGGCAAUGGACGAAAGUCUGACCGAGCAACGCCGCGUGAGUGAAGAAGGUUUUCGGAUCGUAAAACUCUGUUGGUAGAGAAGAACGUUGGUGAGAGUGGAAAGCUCAUCAAGUGACGGUAACUACCCAGAAAGGGACGGCUAACUACGUG